This 72-nucleotide transfer RNA is filed under the name archaeon CG06_land_8_20_14_3_00_37_11. RNAcentral's name for it is "tRNA-Gly". It matches the Rfam family "tRNA". Rfam says of the family: Transfer RNA (tRNA) molecules are approximately 80 nucleotides in length. Their secondary structure includes four short double-helical elements and three loops (D, anti-codon, and T loops). RNAcentral also lists the same sequence under 1 other name. The record is from RNAcentral.
GCGGUUGUAGUAUAGUGGUUAGUAUUCGAGGUUCCCAACCUUGCAACCUGGGUUCAACUCCCAGCAACCGCA